RNAcentral lists this long non-coding RNA (841 nucleotides) under Heterocephalus glaber (naked mole-rat). Its description in RNAcentral is "lncRNA (ENSHGLG00100040238.1)". Lineage: Eukaryota; Metazoa; Chordata; Mammalia; Rodentia; Bathyergidae. The record is from RNAcentral.
CCUCCCGGCCCCCUUCCCUCUUGUUUCCUUCUCUGGGGUCAUCUUUUACCUCCCUGCUCAUUUGUGUGGCUGUUUCCAGAAUGGUCAAGUCCACAGACCCCAGGUUCAUUCACUUGGGGUUGCACCUGUGAUGACCCUGGGCUCUUAUAGCUUGAUGAUAUCCCAUGGUCAGGACAGCAGAGUUGAGUUAUCCAUUCAUCUACAAGGACAGCUGAUCAAUUCCAAACACUGGCAGUGAUGAAAAGAGUGGCUGGGAACAUCUGGAUGGAGAUCUCCUCACUUGGAUAAACACCUAAGAGUUCCAUUACUGGGUCAUGUGCUAGGGAUACAUGUAGUCAUUUUCCCCAUGACAGUCUCACCUAUCAUAUUUUCCCCAGAAAGAGCAGAGAAACUUUCUAUUUCCCUGUGCCCCACAGCUAAGCAUGGUGCCUGGGAAGUGGCAGCAACUGCUGACUGACCACAGGUGACUUGGAAAUCUCCAGCACCAAGUUGGAGCCACUAAGAGGCUCUGACCCAGUUUCCAGCCCAUGCCCCAGGGCAAAGAAGCAAACCUGAGGCCUCCAGUCAGGCAGAGCAGAAAGGGGACGGCAUAGCUACCUUUCACCUAACAGUUUGAUUCAGAGAGAUGAAAGAGAAAAGCAAACUCUAAAAACCAAGUCAAAAUUGAUGGAGAAAUAAGAUACUUUCAUGAUAAAGAGCACCUCAGGAACUUCAUGAACACCAAACCAGCACUCCAAAAAAUUUUAGACAAUACCCUAGGAAAAGACAAUGAGGAUCACAACCCCAGGAAACCCAGCAGAAUGAAUCCAUUGGGUGUGACAAAUUAAAUGCGAAGGGGGAG